This 351-nucleotide long non-coding RNA is filed under the name Salmo salar (Atlantic salmon). RNAcentral describes it as "lncRNA (ENSSSAG00000117402.1)". The record is from RNAcentral. Lineage: Eukaryota; Metazoa; Chordata; Actinopteri; Salmoniformes; Salmonidae.
GUAGCUGACGACGCACCUGGACCCAGGUGUUUCCCAUGUAGCUGACGACGCACCUGGACCCAGGUGAUUUCCCAUGUAGCUGACGACGCACCUGGACCCAGGUGAUUCCCAUGUAGCUGACGACGCACCUGGACCCAGGUGUUUCCCAUGUAGCUGACGACGCACCUGGACCCAGGUGAUUCCCAUGUAGCUGACGACCCUCCCAACUCCGCCCACCGGCAUCCUAAUAAGGAAACAAGAGCAGAGAGAGAGAGAGAGAAUACAGCAGACAGAGAGGGAGGGUCGUCACGCAAGACAUCAGCCGAUACCGAUGUUUCCAUUUGGAGGUAAUAUCGUCCGCUAUGUUGACCG